This 74-nucleotide transfer RNA is filed under the name Burkholderiales bacterium. RNAcentral describes it as "tRNA-Cys". It matches the Rfam family "tRNA". Rfam says of the family: Transfer RNA (tRNA) molecules are approximately 80 nucleotides in length. Their secondary structure includes four short double-helical elements and three loops (D, anti-codon, and T loops). Lineage: Bacteria; Pseudomonadati; Pseudomonadota; Betaproteobacteria; Burkholderiales. The record is from RNAcentral. RNAcentral also lists the same sequence under 2 other names.
GGCGCGAUAGCAAAGCGGUUAUGCCCCGGAUUGCAAAUCCGGUUAGGGCGGUUCGACUCCGCCUCGCGCCUCCA